This 492-nucleotide small RNA is filed under the name Pan troglodytes (chimpanzee). RNAcentral's name for it is "processed transcript". Lineage: Eukaryota; Metazoa; Chordata; Mammalia; Primates; Hominidae. The record is from RNAcentral.
AGACUGCAGCUUGAAGAUAAAAGAGAGCACUGUGUCCUUUUGAAAAUAAAGGCAGACACAAAGAAGAAAGGAGCUGCCUUACCCCAGCAUAUACCUGCGGGAUGUUCUCUCCAGUUCAUUUUUACCUGGUGUCUUGAAAUCCGAGCAAUUCCUAAAAAGGCAUUUUUGCGAGCCCUUGUGGACUAUACCAGUGACAGUGCUGAAAAGCGCAGGCUACAGGAGCUGUGCAGUAAACAGGGGGCAGCCGAUUAUAGCCGCUUUGUACGAGAUGCCUGUGCCUGCUUGUUGGAUCUCCUCCUCGCUUUCCCUUCUUGCCAGCCACCACUCAGUCUCCUGCUCGUGUUUUUUCCACUUACGACCUCCCCAAAAUGGUAAGACCGUGUUGCUGAAUGAGGCUGCUCUUCUUGCCAUUCUGUCCUCAGGCUGGCCCUCUCACCCUCUUCAGUGAAAUCUUCGAGAACCAUCAGCAGGAAUAGGAUGACAGAACACAGG